RNAcentral lists this long non-coding RNA (680 nucleotides) under Malus domestica (apple). Its description in RNAcentral is "long non-coding RNA (MDOM_LNC014776)". The record is from RNAcentral. Lineage: Eukaryota; Viridiplantae; Streptophyta; Magnoliopsida; Rosales; Rosaceae.
CUAGUUUUUGAAAUAAUUUGUACCAAAAAGGAUUUUACAUUGAAACUAUUUUACAUAUUGAAAGUAGGUUCUAGCAUAAAAUAAAUCUAAUAAAAUCAUUACAUAAAAAUAAUUACCCAACAUACACCAGACCCAUAUAUAUAUAACCAUUUUUUUUUAAAUACGGGGUAUUACAAAGCCCAAUAAUUAAGGUAAUUAAAAGGUGCUCUUGGCACCGGUUUACGUAAUUGUAAUCACUGUUCUAAAAAUCUCCGCCUAGGCGCUAGGCGGUUGGCCAUCGCCCUAUUAAUGCCUAGGCGUUUGAAAAUUAAGAAAGGGCGCCUACAUUUGUGCCCUUCUGAACUGCCUAGUCACCCACCUAGCCCGCCCAAACUCGCCUAGGCACCCACCUAGGUUGCAACUCUCUUAGACAGAAAAUAGAUAACUUUCAUUUUGUAUUUUAUUUUUUUUCAAUAAAUUGUAAGAGACUUAUUGACACACCCACCUAAAUUAGGGCAUGCUGGCUGUCACGUAAACGUGACAUAACCAUGUGCACAAUGCGGAAGCAAUAAGGAUAUAGAGAAUUACGAGCGAAUAAAAACCAAAUUACUAGCAGAACUAGCUAAGAUAAGGUGCUAGUGCGAGAAUAAGUGUGAAAUACACAAUCAGAGCAUAAAUAGUCUAAGUGCAGUCAAGCAGAC